This is an RNA transcript of Chenopodium quinoa (quinoa), 1300 nucleotides long. RefSeq lists it as uncharacterized. The transcript has 6 exons. The record is from RefSeq and is a predicted model, not a curated record. NCBI's taxonomy places the organism in Eukaryota, Viridiplantae, Streptophyta, Magnoliopsida, Caryophyllales, Amaranthaceae.
UUCCCUGAUUGACCAGAUUGACAGGGGUGGUUCGGUUUUUUUGUGCAGACAUUUUAGGUGUUCAAAGUGGGCUGAUGCGUGGCAUUCAUCCUCUUGGUCUUUUCGGGUUGCCCAUUUCUCUCUCCUGCUUUUCCUCCUCUCAUCCUCACUUCUAAGCAUCCUCAAAUUUCUCUCUCUCUCCUCUAUUGAAGCGCACUCUGAGUUCUUCAUUAGUGUGCACUCUGAGUUCUCCAUUGAAGCCUACUUUGAGUUUUUCGCCGGUGAAUUGGAUUUUUAACUUUUAAGCCCGGCGUUUUCUGGGCGUUUAUUGUCUUUCCUUUGUUUUUUUUCGCCUGAUUUCGAAAUUCUAGGGUUAGGGUUAGGGUUUUUGGUUGGUUUUCAAGAUACUCAAAUCUUGAUUUGCUUUGAUCAAAAUUCUUUAUCUUUUUUGAUGAAGUUGAGUUACUGGGCUCAUUUCUUCUGCUGUAAAUCGGCUGAAUUGUAGUUUGAAGCAAUGUUUACACCCCAGAAGAAGGUUUUCACGGGUUGGUCUUUGUCGCCGAGGAGAGAGAAUCAGAAAACUCCAGUGCCGAAUUCUAAUUCUAGCGCACGAAUUUUUGAAAAUGGAGGUGCGAUUGUUGUUAGGGAUGGAGACGAUCUCUUUGGAUGGAAGAAGCUUGAAAAUGAGAUGCUGGAUUAUAAUGUUCCAGGAGUGAGGAGAAAGAAAGUUUCCAAGUGUUUAUAAUGGUGACCUCACCACCUUCAUCUGCUCCAGAUGGUUAUGGAUCUUGGCAGAAAGCAGAAAUCUUUGGGUCUUUUGUGAAAUGGAGAUCUUCUUUAUUCACACUGCCGCCAUUUCAACCGUCUAAGAUUCUUCGAUUCACUUUCAAUUCCCUGUUUUGCUGUGAUGGAUAUAUUUACAUGUCACGGGCGCAAAAGUAGUUAUGAUCUCAUCUGGUGUGAUCUGUAAGCUAAACUUGAGUCUUCAGCCUCUUAUAUUUCUUGCAGCAUGAGCUUGAUGCAUUGCUAGGGAUGACCUAUUUAUCAAUGCUCUUACGAACUGCAAGUUCUAAGCAAUGAGAAAGAAGAAACAAAGACAGUCGUGGAAAACAAGAACGUGGCAGAAAUUAUUAAGGAAUGGUAUCUAGGCAACAUUGGCUUUUGCAUCAUUCAAAAACGGUCAGUCUUUGGACCAGUGGCUUUGGGAGGGCCAAAUUGCUUGUUGUUUAACAGUUUUUCAUGUGAAUAUCUUGUAAAAAUUAUAAACACUUGUAAUUGUUUAAAUAGUUAUAUAGAUAUUUUUGUGUCUUCUCUAUUGACA